This 1446-nucleotide ribosomal RNA is filed under the name Triticum aestivum (bread wheat). RNAcentral describes it as "partial small subunit ribosomal RNA". Lineage: Eukaryota; Viridiplantae; Streptophyta; Magnoliopsida; Poales; Poaceae. The record is from RNAcentral.
AUGGAGGGGGUGGAGGAGGCCAACCGGGCGGCCGUGGUGAGCUGCAAGAGGCUGGUCGCCCGCCUCUCGCUGUCCGCCGGCGACCCGUUCCGGCUCGCCGCCGUCGCGGCCGAGACCGAGGAGGCCGUGUCCCGGUUCAGCAAGGUGGUUAACAUCCUCGGCAACAGGGUUGGCCAUGCGAGGGCGAGGGUCGGCCGGAGGAGCUCGCCGGCGGGCGACCCGAUUGCGAGGUGCCUCCUCGAGUACCACCCUCCCCCGCCGGUGCCGUAUUGCCCACCUGCCAGUGCCCCCCAACUCCAUGGGAGUAGCAGUAGCACUCCUGCGCCGCCGCCGACGCCGCUGAAGCAGAUGCCGGUGCCGGUGGCGGCGGAGGCGGCUCCUUGUGCCGCCGGCAACGGCAAGGUCGUUGCACCGGCGGCCAAGGGUGCUGCGGACAGGGACAUGUUCUUCCAGACGCCGCUCCUGGAUUUGAGUGCGUGCAGCAGCGUUACUCCCGCCUCCAUUGCCGCCGCGCAGAUCAACGGCUCGAGAGUUUCCGCAGCUCCGGCGGCCAAGGGUGCAGACAGAGACAUGUUCUUCCAGACGCCGCUCCUGGAUUUGAGCGGGUGUAGCGUUACUCCCGCCUCCAUUGCCGCCGUGCAGAUCAACGGCUCGAGAGUUUCGGCAGCUCCGGCGGCCAAUCCUCCUCCUCCCCCUCCCCCUCCCCCUCCUCCUCAAAUCCAAUUCCACCAUCCGAUUCAGCAGCAGCAGCAGCAGCAGCAGCAGAAGAGGAUGCUCGAGCAGCAGCAGAAGCCGGCCAGCAGCGACAACAAGAGGUUCCACUUCGAGCCGAAGCCGGCGAGCGAGAAGCCGUUCCACAUCGAGAUCCCGGCGGCGAGGAGCGGCAAGGAGCCGGAGGUGAUCACCUUCAGCUUCGACAACUCGGUGUGCACCUCGUCGGCGGCCACCUCCUUCUUCACCAACAUGAGCAGCCAGCUGAUCAGCAUGUCGGAGACCUCCGCCUGCGCGCCGGCGUCCAGGAAGGCGGCGCACAAAGCCGACGACGACGGCAAAUGCCACUGCCCCAAGAAAAAGAAGCCGAGGGAGAAGAGGGUGGUGAGGAUGCCGGCGGUGAGCGACAAGGUGGCCGAUAUACCUUCCGACAGCUACUCGUGGAGGAAGUACGGGCAGAAACCCAUCAAAGGCUCUCCACACCCAAGGGGAUACUACCGGUGCAGCAGCAUCAAGGACUGCCCGGCGAGGAAGCACGUGGAGCGGUGUCGCGGCGACGCCGGGAUGCUCAUCGUCACCUACGAGAACGACCACAACCACGCGCAGCCGCUCGACCUCGCCACGCUCACCGCCAACUCCGAAGCCUGCCGAGACCGCCGGUACCAGAAGAACUCUGAAUUUUUAUGCCAUGGAUGGAACAUGCCAUUCAGCCUGACCAAAUCUGAAUGCAAGUGA